RNAcentral lists this transfer RNA (78 nucleotides) under Meles leucurus amurensis. Its description in RNAcentral is "tRNA-Leu". It matches the Rfam family "tRNA". From Rfam's summary of the family: Transfer RNA (tRNA) molecules are approximately 80 nucleotides in length. Their secondary structure includes four short double-helical elements and three loops (D, anti-codon, and T loops). Lineage: Eukaryota; Metazoa; Chordata; Mammalia; Carnivora; Mustelidae. The record is from RNAcentral.
UUGUUAGGGUGGCAGAGCCCAGUAAUUGCGUAAAACUUAAGCUUUUAUUCUCAGAGGUUCAAAUCCUCUUCCUAACAU